AGCGAACGCUGGCGGCGUGCCUAACACAUGCAAGUCGAACGUGAAAGGGAGCAAUCCCAAGUAAAGUGGCGUACGGGUGAGUAACACGUAGGUAAUCUACCCCAGAAUCUGGAAUAACCGGCCGAAAGGCUGGCUAAUACUGGAUAGAGCGACGGAAUCCGUAAUUGGGUUUUUCGGGAAAGGGAGCCUGUAAAAAGGCCUUCGUUCUGGGAUGAGCCUGCGUCCCAUCAGCUAGUUGGUGAGGUAAAAGCUUACCAAGGUAAUGACGGGUAGCUGGUCUGAGAGGACGAUCAGCCACACUGGAACUGAAACACGGUCCAGACUCCUACGGGAGGCAGCAGUGGGGAAUCUUGCGCAAUGGACGAAAGUCUGACGCAGCAACGCCGCGUGAGUGAAGAAGGCCUUCGGGUUGUAAAGCUCUGUCGAGUGGGACGAAAAUGCUUGGAGUUCACAGCUCCAGGAACUGACGGUACCACUAAAGGAAGCACCGGCUAACUCCGUG
RNAcentral lists this ribosomal RNA (502 nucleotides) under uncultured bacterium. RNAcentral's name for it is "partial 16S ribosomal RNA". It matches the Rfam family "Bacterial small subunit ribosomal RNA", at positions 29 to 507 of the family's 1533-position model. The record is from RNAcentral.